Molecule: ribosomal RNA, 1533 nt
Filed under: Dibamus novaeguineae
Lineage: Eukaryota; Metazoa; Chordata; Lepidosauria; Squamata; Dibamidae
Description: large subunit ribosomal RNA
Rfam family: Bacterial large subunit ribosomal RNA
Source: RNAcentral
CACCAAUCAAACCAGCCCCACUUCACCUACUAAUUUUAACAUCUCAAUAAAACAAAACAUUUAACAACUUAAGUACUUGAGAAUGAACAAUUUUAUGGGCGCAAUAGCAAACUCGUACCGUAAGGGAAUUUUGAAAGAACAAUGAAACAACAAAGUGAAAUAUAGCAAAGAUUAACCCUUGUACCUCUUGCAUCAUGGUUUAGCAAGAAAUUUGUAGGCACAGCGCGACCUCUAGUCUACCGCCCCGAAAUCAAGCGAGCUACCCAAGAACAACCAAUAUUGGGUGAACCUUUCCCUGUGGCAAAAGGGUAGGACGAUUCAUGGGUAGAAGUGAAAAGCCUAACGAGCUUGAUGAUAGCUGGUUGCCCAAUAAAAGAACUUAAAUUCAACCUUAGGUCAAUCUACAUCAACAAAAGUCAAAUAUUUAACCUAAGAGAUAUUCAACGGGGGUACAGCCCCAUUGAAAUAGGAUACAACCUAUCAUAGUGAGUAAAUUUUAAUUUAUACCCAGUGGGCCCUUAAGCAGCCACCAGUAGAAAAAGCGUCAUAGCACACAAUAUCAAAAAUACCAAUAAUAUCAACAUACUCCUAUAUAUUAACUGGGCCACUCUAUUCAUUAAUAGAAGAACUACUGCUAAAAUUAGUAACAAGAAAUCAUCUCUCAGCAUAACCUUAACUCAGAAAUAGAAAAACCGCUGACAAUUAUACAAAUACCAGAAACAAAAAAAACGCCCCCGUAACCAAAACUGUUACACCAACACAGGAAUGCAGAAAAGAAAGAUUAAAAGCUGUAAAAGGAAUUCAGCAAACCCAGCCUCAACUGUUUACCAAAAACAUAGCCUUUAGCCAAACUAGUAUUAAAGGUUUCGCCUGCCCAGUGACUUAAUUCAACGGCCGCGGUAUUCUAACCGUGCAAAGGUAGCGUAAUCACUUGUCUCCUAAAUAGAGACCCGUAUGAACGGCUAAAUGAAGACUGACCUGUCUCUUACAUCUAAUCAGUGAAAUUGAUCUUUCAGUACAAAAGCUGAAAUAAAACCAUAAGACGAGAAGACCCUGUGGAGCUUAAAAUAACCAUCAAUCUUAACAAAUGAUGAUAAUUUUAGUUGGGGCGACUUCGGAAACAAACAAAACUUCCGAGCAAUGGCCCAAAAAGCCGAAUCAAGACCAACAAGUCAAAACACUAAAAUGAAACGAUCCAGUAAAACUGAUCAACGAAACAAGUUACCCCAGGGAUAACAGCGCCAUCUUCUUCAAGAGUUCAUAUCGACAAGAAGGUUUACGACCUCGAUGUUGGAUCAGGACAUCCUAAAGGUGCAACCGCUAUUAAGGGUUCGUUUGUUCAACGAUUAAUGUCCUACGUGAUCUGAGUUCAGACCGGAGUAAUCCAGGUCAGUUUCUAUCUAUGUUUGGUCACCUUCUUCAGUACGAAAGGACCAAGAAGACGGGACCCAUAUUAUAAACAAGUCCCACAAAAUAAAUUGAAUAAAACUAAAAUAAUCACGACCAAAAACCCGCCAAAGAUACGGGCUAAUU